RNAcentral lists this ribosomal RNA (793 nucleotides) under uncultured archaeon. Its description in RNAcentral is "bacterial SSU rRNA". It matches the Rfam family "Archaeal small subunit ribosomal RNA", at positions 85 to 879 of the family's 1478-position model. The record is from RNAcentral.
ACUGCUCAGUAACACGUGGACAACCUGCCCUUAGGUUGGGUAUAAACCCGGGAAACUGGGUAUAAUACCCGAUAGGUCUCGAUUGCUGGAAUGCAUCGAGAUUUAAAGCUCCGGCGCCUAAGGAUGGGUCUGCGGCCUAUCAGGUAGUAGUGGGUGUAGCGUACCUACUAGCCUACGACGGGUACGGGUUGUGAGAGCAAGAGCCCGGAGAUGGAUUCUGAGACACGAAUCCAGGCCCUACGGGGUGCAGCAGGCGCGAAAACUUUACAAUGCUGGCAACAGCGAUAAGGGAACCUCGAGUGCCAGGUUACAAAUCUGGCUGUCGAGAUGCCUAAAAAGCAUUUCAUAGCAAGGGCCGGGCAAGACCGGUGCCAGCCGCCGCGGUAACACCGGCGGCUCGAGUGGUAACCGUUAUUAUUGGGUCUAAAGGGUCUGUAGCCGGCCGGAUAAGUCUCUUGAGAAAUCUGGCAGCUUAACUGUCAGGCUUUCAGGAGAUACUGUCUGGCUCGAGGCCGGGAGAAGUGAGAGGUACUUCAGGGGUAGGGGUGAAAUCUUGUAAUCCUUGAAGGGCCACCAGUGGCGAAGGCGUCUCACCAGAACGGACCUGACGGCAAGGGACGAAAGCUAGGGGCACGAACCGGAUUAGAUACCCGGGUAGUCCUAGCCGUAAACGAUACUCGCUAGGUGUCGGCCACGGUGCGACCGUUGUCGGUGCCGUAGGGAAGCCGUGAAGCGAGCCACCUGGGAAGUACGGCCGCAAGGCUGAAACUUAAAGGAAUUGGCGGGGGAGCAC